UUGCAGAAUUCAGUGAAUCAUCGAAUCUUUGAACGCACCUUGCGCUCCUUGGUAUUCCGAGGAGCAUGCCUGUUUGAGUGUCAU
RNAcentral lists this ribosomal RNA (84 nucleotides) under Hyphoderma incrustatum. RNAcentral describes it as "partial 5.8S ribosomal RNA". It matches the Rfam family "5.8S ribosomal RNA", at positions 72 to 154 of the family's 154-position model. From Rfam's summary of the family: 5.8S ribosomal RNA (5.8S rRNA) is a component of the large subunit of the eukaryotic ribosome. Lineage: Eukaryota; Fungi; Basidiomycota; Agaricomycetes; Polyporales; Hyphodermataceae. The record is from RNAcentral.